GUGUAUAUUAAAGUUGUUGUGGUUAAAAAGCUCGUAGUUGGAUCUCGGCAGGCAGGGGGCGGUCCGUUAUUUGACGCGACUGCCCCGUUUGCCUGUGUUUCUUUGGCGGAACUCGCAGGGUGCUCUUCGCCGAGUGUCCUGUCGGGGCCGCCGGGUUUACUUUGAAAAAAUUAGAGUGCUCCAAGCGGGCUCGACACGCCUGAAUAUCCGUGCAUGGAAUAAUGGAAUAGGACGUCGUUCCUAUUUUGUUGGUUUUAGGGAAUCGACGUAAUGAUUAAUAGGGACAGCCGGGGGCAUUAGUAUUCAGACGACAGAGGUGAAAUUCUUGGACCGUCUGGCGACUCACUGCUGCGAAAGCGUUUGCCAAGUAUGUUUUCAUUAAUCAAGAACGAAAGUUAGAGGUUCGAAGGCGAUCAGAUACCGCCCUAGUUCUAACCAUAAACGAUGCCAGCUAGCGAUCUGCGGGCGUUUUUAUUGUAGGCCCCGCAGGAAGCUUCCGGGAAACCAAAGCUUUUGGGUUCCAGGGAAAGUAUGAUUGCAAAAUUGAAAUUUAAAGAAAUUGACGGAACGGCACCACCAGGCGUGGAACUUGCGGCUUAAUUUGACUCAACACUGGAAAUCUCACCAGGCCCGGACACCGGAAGGAUUGACAGAUUGAGAGCUCUUUCUCGAUUCGGUGGGUGGUGGUGCAUG
Molecule: ribosomal RNA, 693 nt
Filed under: Mesocyclops leuckarti
Lineage: Eukaryota; Metazoa; Arthropoda; Copepoda; Cyclopoida; Cyclopidae
Description: SSU rRNA
Rfam family: Eukaryotic small subunit ribosomal RNA
Source: RNAcentral